AAUCCAUAGGUUAAUGAGGCGAACCGGGGGAACUGAAACAUCUAAGUACCCCGAGGAAAAGAAAUCAACCGAGAUUCCCCCAGUAGCGGCGAGCGAACGGGGAGGAGCCCAGAGCCUGAAUCAGCAUGUGUGUUAGUGGAAGCGUCUGGAAAGGCGCGCGAUACAGGGUGACAGCCCCGUACACAAAAGCGCAUGUGCUGUGAGCUCGAUGAGUAGGGCGGG
This 222-nucleotide ribosomal RNA is filed under the name Salmonella enterica subsp. enterica serovar Muenchen. RNAcentral's name for it is "partial 23S ribosomal RNA". It matches the Rfam family "Bacterial large subunit ribosomal RNA", at positions 161 to 421 of the family's 2925-position model. RNAcentral also lists the same sequence under 2 other names. Lineage: Bacteria; Pseudomonadati; Pseudomonadota; Gammaproteobacteria; Enterobacterales; Enterobacteriaceae. The record is from RNAcentral.